This 753-nucleotide long non-coding RNA is filed under the name Lepisosteus oculatus (spotted gar). RNAcentral's name for it is "lncRNA (ENSLOCG00000022152.1)". The record is from RNAcentral. Lineage: Eukaryota; Metazoa; Chordata; Actinopteri; Semionotiformes; Lepisosteidae.
AGGAAAUGACAGGAAGUAGGGAGCGCGCUUCGUGAGUGGCCCUGUCGGCGCCACAGCUCCUCCCACCGCUGACAACGGCACAGUCCUUCCGUCGCAGGUGAGAGUGUGGUGCCCAACCGGGUUUUGCUUUUUCAUUUUUAUUUAAAAUAUUAAUCGUUUUAUGAAAUUACCAAAUGCAUGGUAUAGAACAGAGUGUAGUAAACCAUCUAACAAAAUCAGCUGGUCGUGUACAGGUGGAAACUAGCCCGUGUCUUUGGUGACCUAGAGAUCGGGUGACAGCGAGAGAGUUCAUUUACAUUAGCGAUGGUUUGAUUUAUCAGCAGGAAUGCACCUCUUGCAGUUAUCAUCCGUUAGCAGAUAAUUCACUGGAGGAUCUCAAGCAGAUCGUCUGAAACGAAGCCACGUUUACGACCUGUUCCACGCUCCCACCGCGCUUUGUGUACAGUAGCACUCGGUUUUCAGUGCGUUUCAGCUCGAGUCCUCUGGGUUGUGCUUCCCUGCUGGUUCUGCGCGUCCCCUGGCAGACUCUGCCCGUGUCUUUGUCCCCUCGUCGUCCUCUCUGAUCAAGACUUCAGGACCCCCUCGGUCUCUCGCUCAGCGAUGUCAGUGGGCCGGCUCGCCGUGAGGGGCUCUGUGCUCCUGCUGUGUGACAUGCAGGAGAAGUUCAGACCCAACAUUGUUCACUUCAGCAACAUCGUGAGCAACGCCGCCCGUCUGCUGCAGGUACUGUUCACAUCUAUAUCCACCUGUCUC